Long non-coding RNA from Lycium barbarum (goji berry), 210 nucleotides. RefSeq lists it as uncharacterized. The transcript is spliced from 3 exons. The record is from RefSeq and is a predicted model, not a curated record. Lineage: Eukaryota; Viridiplantae; Streptophyta; Magnoliopsida; Solanales; Solanaceae.
GCAAGUGCAAAACGCUCUUCAACGUGAUACAAUUUAUUUGGCGAAAGAAUCACAUUUGCGACAAGUCGGAUUUUCAAGAAAAGAUUUUGAGCGAAACGGGACUUGAGUUUUGGGCGAGCGUAAGACGUACAUAAGGUACAGACGCCGGUGAUCCACCACUGUAGGCUCCACUUCUGCUAUUUCGGAGUACUCCCUUUGAUUCGGAGUCCA